CAGCCUACGAGCUGGGGGCGGAGAUUCUUCUUGCUCUGUUGCGGGGUGCUGCGGCAGGACUUUCGGGGUGCCGCAGAGGAAGAAAACGGAGAGGGACGUGCGCGGGCGGGUGUGGCAGCAACAGGAGACCGAUUCAGCAGCUGAUGCGGGCUGGCCACAUUGCUAUCAGUUGCAUUGUGCCAUAGGAGUAAUAUCCACUUGGACAAUCGUCUUCUUCAUUUGAUUUCCUUGGAGAGUAGGUCAGAUUUUUCCACCACUGCUGGGUCAAGGUUGGAGUCACUGGAAGAGGAAGGAGGUGAAUCUAGAAGAGGUGCAGAGUUUGAAGUAGGUUUGUUGUUUAAACAAAAAAAACAACAUGUGUCAGAAAUUUGGACUGGAUAGAUCAAUGGA
Molecule: long non-coding RNA, 390 nt
Filed under: Vombatus ursinus (common wombat)
Lineage: Eukaryota; Metazoa; Chordata; Mammalia; Diprotodontia; Vombatidae
Description: lncRNA (ENSVURG00010000645.1)
Source: RNAcentral